Molecule: ribosomal RNA, 326 nt
Filed under: uncultured eukaryote
Lineage: Eukaryota
Description: partial 18S ribosomal RNA
Rfam family: Eukaryotic small subunit ribosomal RNA
Source: RNAcentral
CCCUUAGAUGUUCUGGGCCGCACGCGCGCUACACUGAUGCAUUCAACAAGCCUAGCCUUGACCGAGAGGUCCGGGUAAUCUUUGAAACUGCAUCGUGAUGGGGCUAGAUUAUUGCAAUUAUUAAUCUUCAACGAGGAAUGCCUAGUAAGCGUGAUUCAUCAAAUCGCGUUGAUUCCGUCCCUGCCCUUUGUACACACCGCCCGUCGCUCCUACCGAUUGAAUGUGUUGGUGAGGAGCUCGGAUUGGCAGCAGUUGGUGGUUCGCCACCGGCUAUUGCUGAGAAGUCCUCCAAACCGCCCCAUUUAGAGGAAGGAGAAGUCGUAACA